CCUACGGGGGGCAGCAGUGGGGAAUAUUGGACAAUGGGGGGAACCCUGAUCCAGCCAUGCCGCGUGUGUGAAGAAGGCCCUCGGGUUGUAAAGCACUUUCAGUGAGGAAGAACGCCUGGUGGUUAAUACCCAUCAGGAAAGACAUCACUCACAGAAGAAGCACCGGCUAACUCCGUGCCAGCAGCCGCGGUAAUACGGAGGGUGCGAGCGUUAAUCGGAAUUACUGGGCGUAAAGCGCGCGUAGGUGGCUUGAUAAGCCGGUUGUGAAAGCCCCGGGCUCAACCUGGGAACGGCAUCCGGAACUGUCAAGCUAGAGUGCAGGAGAGGAAGGUAGAAUUCCCGGGGAAGCGGUGAAAUGCGUAGAGAUCGGGAGGAAUACCAGUGGCGAAGGCGGCCUUCUGGACUGACACUGACACUGAGGUGCGAAAGCGUGGGUAGCAAACAGGAUUAGAUACCCCUGUAGUC
RNAcentral lists this ribosomal RNA (465 nucleotides) under Vreelandella stevensii. Its description in RNAcentral is "partial 16S ribosomal RNA". It matches the Rfam family "Bacterial small subunit ribosomal RNA", at positions 338 to 795 of the family's 1533-position model. Lineage: Bacteria; Pseudomonadati; Pseudomonadota; Gammaproteobacteria; Oceanospirillales; Halomonadaceae. The record is from RNAcentral.